Molecule: ribosomal RNA, 233 nt
Filed under: uncultured bacterium
Lineage: Bacteria
Description: partial 16S ribosomal RNA
Rfam family: Bacterial small subunit ribosomal RNA
Source: RNAcentral
UCCACGCCGUAAACGAUGAAUACUCGUUGUCUGCAAUAUACAGUAGGCGACUGAGCGAAAGCAUUAAGUAUUCCACCUGGGGAGUACGUUGGCAACAAUGAAACUCAAAGGAAUUGACGGGGGCCCGCACAAGCGGAGGAACAUGUGGUUUAAUUCGAUGAUACGCGAGGAACCUUACCCGGGUUUAAAUGCAGGACGAAACUCUGAGAGAUCGGAGCCUCUUCGGACGGACU